GUACUUCAGCAGCACACACAUUAAAACUGGAACAAUUCAGAAGAUUAGCAUGGCCCCUGAAAAAAGAUGACAUGCAAAUUUGUGAAAUGUUCCAUAUUUUU
Small nuclear RNA from Mesocricetus auratus (golden hamster), 101 nucleotides. The record is from Ensembl. Lineage: Eukaryota; Metazoa; Chordata; Mammalia; Rodentia; Cricetidae.